AUGACCGUGACACUUUAGAAUGUUUCUAUGAUCCUUGCACUUCGUAUCGAGGGGAAGCCUCUAUGUAUGAGCACAAAUUCUGACAUGUGGUGCCAGCAGAUGAAGACCCUUAUUGGCAUGGCUCACGAGGAGGCUGAAGACAAGACUAAAGAUAGACUCCCAGUCGGCGCUCCUUAUACAUGGAGCGUAGCAAACUUUGCGCAUUGCCCCGUUGACACUACUCGCAAUAUGAUCCAGUCAUAUGCUCGCGUAUACGUGUGGUAUGUUAUAUGA
RNAcentral lists this ribosomal RNA (273 nucleotides) under Triticum aestivum (bread wheat). Its description in RNAcentral is "partial small subunit ribosomal RNA". Lineage: Eukaryota; Viridiplantae; Streptophyta; Magnoliopsida; Poales; Poaceae. The record is from RNAcentral.